Cannabis sativa is the source of this 559-nucleotide long non-coding RNA. RefSeq lists it as uncharacterized. The transcript is spliced from 2 exons. The record is from RefSeq and is a predicted model, not a curated record. NCBI's taxonomy places the organism in Eukaryota, Viridiplantae, Streptophyta, Magnoliopsida, Rosales, Cannabaceae.
CGUUUCUCUUUCUGCCGUUCCGCUUCUCUCUCUCGCGCUCGUUCUCUCUCGCUCUGGUUCACUCUCGUUCUCUCUCUCUCUCUCUCUCUCUCUCUCUCUCUCUCUCUCUCUCUCUCUCUCUUGCGUGAUGUCGUAUUUCGUCUACAUUAACGGUCACCUCCAUGGAGCUUGCUGGCUGGUGCAGUUGACGAGGAGGAGGAUGAUAAUGACAUAAACAACAACAAUGGAGAUUGUGGAGGUUAAUCGUCUGCUCCGGCUCCGACUCUGGCUUCGGCUCCCACCAGCGACAGGGCAACGAUUGCAUGCCUGUCGAUGUUUGUGGCUUUGGUAUUGACAUACCUAAUUCACUGAAGAGAGAUUAUUUGAAUUUGGGUUGGAUUAUAUGUUCUGUGAUUUAUUCAUGAAAUUGGGGCAAAAUUUAUGGAUUUACAUACCAAUUAGUGUUCUGAUUUAGACAAUUUUUUGAUUGUGUUGUUGAGGAUUCUAUUCUGUUUGGUCACUGUAAAAAAUAUUGUUGUAAUAUUUAUAUUUAAUAUUAUUUUUUGUAUUUUUUUCUGAA